GCCCACAUAUUAUACGUCACUCGCUGGCUACGUACCCCGCGCGCGCGCCGAGUUGGCGCCAGGCUCGCGGAUAAGGGGCGGGAGAACGCCAACGCAACGCAAGCAGAGGAAAAUCGGCGGGUCCCGAGGCCACCUGGGAAAUGUAGUUCUGCUUUUAGGGGCGCGGCCCACCCAUCCUGAUUGACGCACAGUGACAUUGCUUCUGGGAUUUGUAGUUUUUACUGUAGGCAGGAACUGCUGUGGACUCAUUGGCGUCUGGGGAAGGCGGAAGUGAAGUGAAGGACCGUCCGGCAAGGCAAGGCUGUGACAGCUUGAUACUUUCGCAGUUCUCAGCACCUUAUUCGCAGGUACCCCAUGACCCCACUGUUCUGCUUCUGAAACGCCACCCUAUAGAAACAUGUGCUGUUUAAAAUAGACAAGGUACUACUGACUGGAGGGAUGUCCAAAAACUAGUGUAAGUAAACAAAGCAAGGUGGAUAAUUCCUCAUGAUUUCAUAUAUAUGUUUUAUAAAAAAUCCUAAACGUGUAAUGUAGACUUUUGUAUAUAAGUGUAUAGGAAAGGGAUUAAGAAGGACAUGUGCCAAAAUGUUUAACGGUGAUUAUCCCUAGGGAUAGUGCAGUGCAAAGACCGCUUUAGCGUGGCCUUCCUCACCAUGGUCCUAUAACUCCCACCCAAGUGAUUGGUUGGGACUGUGCAGAUAAGGUAAUUGUGGCUGACCAAGGGGAUUGAUCGGCUUUGCCAUCCCGCUAGGCUUAAAAUGAGCCAUCCCACAGGUGGGAAGAGAGUCUCUCACCACCACCAAGGAAGAAGAACCAGGAGCGGAGCGCGUCCUUUGGACCCAGGACCUCUGCACUGAGAAACUUCUAGAACCAGGUGACCAAGAAAGAUAAAGAGCUAUAACGCUGAAGAUGGUAAGAAGUGGUGGCAGAGAAAAGGCAGCAGGAGACGGUGCAGUGGAUUUUCCAGCCCACGGAUGGAGAAAGCUGAGCACCUUCAGGCAGGAGGCUUGUUGGAAGAGUAGGGUGCCUCCAGACACUUGGUAGAGCUAGGUUUGCUGAUCCACAGAGCUAGAGCUAAGCACCUACCCAUGGAGGCCUCUUGGAGGAGUGGGGUGCCUCAGGGCACUUAACAGCAGAGCUAAAAGAUCUUUUUAACACUUGCCCAAGCAGGAAAGAGGUGAGGGAACCAGAGAGAGGCAUGCCUGGGAGCAUGGCUGAGAAGAGGCUGUCUUGAUGGAAGAACUAUAUCCUGAGCGUUCCUGGACCUGAAUUGUAACCUGUUGCUUCCCUAAUAAACCUCAUAAUCGUGA
Loxodonta africana (African savanna elephant) is the source of this 1310-nucleotide long non-coding RNA. RefSeq lists it as uncharacterized. The record is from RefSeq and is a predicted model, not a curated record. Lineage: Eukaryota; Metazoa; Chordata; Mammalia; Proboscidea; Elephantidae. The transcript has 2 exons.